Sus scrofa (pig) is the source of this 1879-nucleotide non-coding RNA. The record is from RefSeq and is a predicted model, not a curated record. NCBI's taxonomy places the organism in Eukaryota, Metazoa, Chordata, Mammalia, Artiodactyla, Suidae.
AGAUAGUAUGAGAUAAAGAAUGUAUAUAUAACUAUGUCACUUUGCUAUACAGUAGAAAUUGGUCCUAUGUUGUAAAUCAACUAUAUUUUAAUAAAAAGUAAAAAAUAUUUGGAGAACAAGAAUGUGACGAUUGUUAUUGACCUGCAGUAUUCAUUUUAUUUUUAUUUUUGAAGUCUUCUUAUUACACAUAAAUAAGUCUUUAUUUUUGAAGUCUUCUUAUUACAUAUUUAUAGACUUACUUUUAUUCUUUUUGAAAAAUUGAGAUAAAAUUGACAUUUAGCAUUCUAUUUGUUUCUGCUGUACAACACGAUGACAACAUAUGUAUACAUUGUGAAAUGAUCAUCACAAUAAGUCUGGUUAACAUCCAUCACCACACAUAGUUACAAUGUUUUUCAUGUGCUGGACUUUUUUUAUUAUAGUUUACAAAUGGACACACAAAUGGAUUUGGAUAUAUGACACCAAGAUCAAAUUGAACAUGGCCAAGUAACUGACCUAUAAGGAACAUGUGCUGGAAAGAACAUGAGCUAAAAACUACUGUCUGUGAUAGAAAUUACAGGAUCAAUGAUUCUCUCAAGACUUAUGUGUAGUCCUCAAAGCCAUCCGCAAGUUGUAGAAGAUACCUAAGCUGUUUGCUUGGCUGCUUCCCACUUCCUGGCAAAGUACUCCUUCUGGAAUUUGUCCUUCUCCAAGCUGAGAGGGGAGAUACAGCUAGCAGAAGUAUACUCACCUCAUCGCCACCUAGUGAGAAGAACGGUGUCGAAACGUAUCGAAGGUGUUGGAGGAAGUUGAGAAGAUGUGACCUCUGGCUGACCUGCUGGCUGGACUGGCAAGUCGAGGCCCUUCACCCUCUCGCUUGUCCUUGAAAUGUAUCCUCUGCCCACAAUGGGAGCCAUGUUCAAGGUCACAGCCUUGAGAGAGUAAGGUGCUGGGACCAUCUGGACUGAAUAUGUGACUCAAUUCAGGUGUGACUCUUCUAAGGCCACCAGAGCAUUUGUGAAUUGAAGCCAAGGAAUCCAGCAGACUUCAAACUUGGUUAAGUUCCUGACUUAAACAGCCAGAGGACCUAGGAAUGGAAGAAUCUGGCUUUUUAUCAUAAUAAUUCUACUGCACAUUUGAAGCCUGAGCUACAGUUGUAAUUUUAGUAAGUUUAAAAUAUAGUCUUUUUAGUUUUAAUGAAGAUUAGAUAUUAAACUGAUGGCAGAAAAUGAAGAACAAUGCUUAAAAGCCCGAGUAAUAUCCUUUCUCCAUAUUCUUUCAAGAAUGAAUUUGUAAGAAACUGCCUAAAGUCACUGGCAAUGGAAAAGAGGGGUGAAUGUGGUGGCUAGCCCUGGGGCUCCACCUGGACAUUUCUGUAUCCUUUUUUUAAAUUAAUUUUGAAUUGCCUCUGUUGUGUUUUUUUUUUUUUUUUUUAAACAGUCCAUGGCUCUUUCAGGGUCUGCCCUUUGGCUAUUGGACACUUUUGCCUCUGUAUAGAAUUAUAAUCUCUGAGGGCUGUACCAGAGGCUGACAGGUGCAGGAGUAGGAAAGCCCCAAUGCCUUACCUCGAAUGGGAACCACUCUGAGGUGUGACUCACCCCCAAGAAGCCUCAGGCAGCAUCAGGCUGACGCUGCCCUCUCAAGGCUCUGCCAGGUUACGCCUGACUGGGCUUCCUCCUCUGUCCUGCCUGGCUUUCUCCUUUCUCUUACCAGUUUCCCCACUUUCUAAAUAAAUCCCCUGAACACAAAUCCUCAUCUCAACAUUAGCUUCUGGAAACCAGACCCGAGCCUGUGAAGGAAUGAAGGGAAGGAAAUGAGCUGAUUUACAAAGUCACAUGAUUUCUUUGAUGAAUGUAUUUUGGACAUUCACUAGCAUUUUAUUUUUAUUUUUUUAUUUUUUAGU